CAAAUUAGGAUUUUAUUUGAAGAUCGGAGAUGAUAGUUUGAGAGUUAGCUUGAAGUUCUUUCCAAAAGCAUAAGGAAAUUUUUUUGUAGGACUUUUGGAGACUUGACAAUUGUUAUUCAAAGUGAGGGUUUGUAUUAGUGAUUUGGAUUUUACAUAUCAUAAUUAGGACUAGCAAUUUUGGCUAGUUCAUGGAAUUACUAUAGCAUCUAUAGUUUAAAAUUUAAUACUAUUUAAAUUAUUAGAUGUGCUAAAUGUAUACAAAAUUUUGUGAUAAUCUAAUGAUGUGGUUUAGAGAUAUCUAGUUUUUAGCAUAAGAGGGUUUUAGAAGUUGGUAGUUUGGAGUUGGGUAGGAUUUCUAUGAUAUCUAGAGAUCUA
This 375-nucleotide long non-coding RNA is filed under the name Physcomitrium patens. RNAcentral's name for it is "long non-coding RNA (PPAT_LNC007391)". The record is from RNAcentral. Lineage: Eukaryota; Viridiplantae; Streptophyta; Bryopsida; Funariales; Funariaceae.